CCCCUGACCCUGACCUCAGGGCUCCUGGGCUCUGCUCGGGGCUCCUGGGCUCUGCUCGGGGCUGAGGGAUGGACUGUGAAGUUGGAAACUUUGAUCACAUGGACACGUCAAGGCCUGCAGACCUCUGCUUCUUUAUCAGACCAGCUCCUCACCAGGCCCCAGAGAUGCCAGCAGAACUCUGCCCUCCAACAGCUUUCUUCCUGAUGAGAGAGGAAACAGAAGAAACAAGCAAAUCACACAAAGGAUGUGACCAUCACAGGCACGAGCUGCCGACCCGAGAUCUGCGCAGAGCUGGGCGUCUGUCAACAUUGCACAAGCUCUGGGACGCUCAUGACGCAGAAGCUCAUGGACACACCCUAACCCUGACCCUGACCAUAAACCUACACAGGGCCAAAGGUCAGGGUCCUUUCAGUUCUCUAUUUCAUGUUAGCAUAGCUCUCACACACAGAAUCUCUCCUUAAAUGGCACCCCACUCCAGCAUUCUUGCCCGGAGAACCCCAUGGCCGGGAGGAGCCUGGUGGGCUGCAGUUCACGGGGUCGCAGUCGGACACGACUGACCAUCUGAACAUGACACUUCACUGAUCCGCAUCGCUGUACGGCAGAAGCCAACAUAACACUGUAAAGCAACUUUCCUCCCAUUAAAAAAUACAUUAAAAAAUAAAACAAGACAU
Long non-coding RNA from Bubalus bubalis (water buffalo), 671 nucleotides. RefSeq lists it as uncharacterized. The transcript is spliced from 3 exons. The record is from RefSeq and is a predicted model, not a curated record. Lineage: Eukaryota; Metazoa; Chordata; Mammalia; Artiodactyla; Bovidae.